Long non-coding RNA from Dromaius novaehollandiae (emu), 1102 nucleotides. RefSeq lists it as uncharacterized. The record is from RefSeq and is a predicted model, not a curated record. The transcript is spliced from 2 exons. Lineage: Eukaryota; Metazoa; Chordata; Aves; Casuariiformes; Dromaiidae.
AGGUAAAGAUGAUUCCAGUCUGAGAGUUCACACCUACAGCAGUAACUACCAUUCUUCCAGAGCCUUCCAUCACAUGUGUACCUGAAAGAUUGCAUCAGGUUUUCCACUGAAACUUCAACAGUUGUACUGCAGAGUAUAAAGGUACCAGGAAGCAGAACAUCAGAAGUACAUAGCAAGGGCUUCUGAAGAAUGAAAAGCAUUUUCUAACAAAUCUAAAGUCAAAGUAUUACCAGUGCCACUUAAAAGAUUAGUAAAUAAGCCUAGCAAAUACAAAAGCAUUUGAAUUUUUAGUAUUUACAAUAAGCAGUUGUGUACAAUUACUGAGCUUGCUACAUCUACCACAUAGCUAGUAAUUUCACAGUUUAUAACAGACAGGCUCAGGCCUGUCAGGUCUAACUACCACAUUGUAUUUUUUAUUAUGUAUUUUAAUUAGGGUCCUUUAUGUGAUUUGGCUUUAAGAUGGAAAAGUACUGAGGAAGUGACUAGCUGAUGCUUUGUCUAAAAGUUAUUUAUUGGAAAUCUAGAAGUAGAUUUUCCUAUAGAAUCGAGAUGAUGUAGAUCUGUGGAAACACUGAUGUUUUGGUGGUCCAUCUCCCCAGAACAUAGGGGGAUUUUACUACUUUUGAUAUUUGUGGAACAACUGCAUUCGUACACAUUUGUACACAUAAAGGACACGACACACGUUAAAUUCUAAGCAGUAAAGUCUGCUCAAAGUGUCUUUUCUAGUAGCACUGGUAAAGGAUAAUUCCCAUUUUUCAUUUCAAGUCAGGUAGAUUUGAUCCACCUUUUGGCUGAAAACCUGUUGCAUUACACUGUCAAUAGCUUCAAAGCAAGAAAUCACACAAGGUGUUCUCAUCCAUUGUAUAGUAUUUCAGAGCUAUUUGUACUUUUGCUAUGAAGCCACUAGUAGUUAUGCAAGUCAGCGUAUUGUGUCAUACAGAAAGCUUCCAAGUAGGAAGCCACGUAGUAAGUCUCCGCAGAUUUAUACACAAGUUUUGACAAAACUAGAACUUCUAUAAUACUGAGCCGUUUUCAUAGUCUUGCAUAUAUUUUCUCCAUUGGAAAUCUCUCCAUUUGUAUUAUUACAACUUGAACUUGACAA